UCUUGAUCUCAGAUCAGGCAGGAUGACCCGCUGAACUUAAGCAUAUUAGUAAGCGGAGGAAAAGAAACUAACCAGGAUUCCCUUAGUAACGGCGAGUGAAGCGGGAAUAGCCCAAUCUGAAAAGCUAGUCUGCCCUGGAGCAGGUCUCGCAUUGUAGGUUGAUGAAGCGUUUCCUAGUGUUAAACCUUUCAAUUAAAGUUCCUUGGAACAGGACAUCAAAGAGGGUGAUAAUCCCGUGAUUAAUUGAAUGACAUACCAGUUUAACACGUCUAUGGAGCGUUUUCUUAGAGUCGGAAUGUUUGGGAUUGCAUUCCAAAGCGGGUGGUAAACUCCAUCUAAGGCUAAAUACUGGCGAGAGACCGAUAGCGAACAAGUACCGUGAGGGAAAGUUGAAAAGCACUCUGGAGAGAGAGUCAAACAGUACGUGAAAUUGCUAGCAGGGAAACGUUGGGCACCAGUACACGGCAAUCAAUGUUAAUGAUCAGUCGGUCGACCGGUGAAUUGUAAUGCGGUGAUUAUUAACCUUUAGAGAUUGUCCUAUUAGCGGCGACUCACGCAUUAUAAGGUUGUCGGUUGACCGGUGCACUCUUUAACAGCCGGGUCAACAUCGGUUAAUGACGUCCGACAAGUCUAGUUGACAAGGUAGCAUUAGUGGGUUCGCUCACUUUUGAACUUAUAGGUCAUUAGUACGAGGAUGUCGUUGACCGAGGAUAAGCGAUUCGCGCGUUUCGGCGCAGGGCGUAUUAGCCGGGUUAAGGUCGCCCGUGGUGCUAAGCAGCAUGCUGAUUAGUAUUCAUUCUACUAUACUUUUGUAUAGUAGCGGUGGUCGCUCGGUUAAUACAAGCCACUAGCGAGUCAAUGAAUGUUGACGAAAUGGUAUUCAACGACCCGUCUUGAAACACGGACCAAGGAGUCUAACAUGUCUGCGAGUGUUUGGGUGGAAAACCCUUACGCGGAAUGAAAGUAACGAGGCAAGUUUCGCGCUUGCCCGCUGGUAGGAAUCGAAGCGUUACGGCGCGACGAGGCACUACCGACCGACCUGUUACCCUCUGUGGUGGUAGGUUUGAGUUGGAGCAGUCCUGUUAGGACCCGAAAGAUGGUGAACUAUGCCUGAGCAGGAUGAAGUCAGAGGAAACUCUGAUGGAGGUCCGUAGCGGUUCUGACGUGCAAAUCGAUCGUCGGACUUGGGUAUAGGGGCGAAAGACUAAUCGAAC
This 1214-nucleotide ribosomal RNA is filed under the name Syncephalis sp. KL-2016a. Its description in RNAcentral is "eukaryotic LSU rRNA". It matches the Rfam family "Eukaryotic large subunit ribosomal RNA", at positions 1 to 940 of the family's 3401-position model. Lineage: Eukaryota; Fungi; Zoopagomycota; Zoopagomycetes; Zoopagales; Piptocephalidaceae. The record is from RNAcentral.